CCAAAACAGGCAGAGUGGGUGGAGCUGGGCAUUGGAGCUUGAGGGUAAGCUGGGUUUGUCUGAGGGGCUCUGUCUUCCAGGAGCUCACCUUUUCAAAAGGUGUGAGGGAAGGAAGGAGGCUAUAGGCCCAAUAAGCAGUUGGCAUUUCCUGACAAUUGUUUCAAACACAAAGCCAGCAGGAGCUGCUCCCAGCGAGCCCCGCUUCUCCCCAUAAUCUAGCCUUGGGUAACAGGCUUCUCCCAGGAGAUCACUGUUCUCAGUCCCUGGCAAGAGCUGGCCCCAUGGGGAGUGCUUUGUUGAUAGUGCCCAGUGCCCAGCAACCAGGCUGGGUUUGGGAAGGAGGCUGGAGUCUUCAGGAGGAAGGUCCUGCCCAAGAUGGUGCAGAGGGCCCAGACUCGCCAACUCUGCCACCCCCUCAAUUUGGCAGGGGCUCUUAUCUCAGAAGCUGCUGGAAGAAUUUGGCAUUUUGACCCUAUUUCAUCACUCCUAGGGCAGUCUGGCAGACAAAGAUGCUCCACACAGCAGCUGAGCUCAUUCACAGAAGCACCGCACACACACAAGGCCCCUCCAAAGUGGUUCCCAUGGAUGCUCCUCUCCUCGCCUCCACACAGGAGAGGAAUGAACCUUGUUCCCAGCUGGAACCCCUCUCUGGAUUCCAGGUUUCCCCACCUGUUCUCGAGGUCCUGAUCCCAGGCCACGCUGGGACCCUUUCUCCAGUUCCAUCUUUGCUUCUUCCUGUGCCUUCCCCACCUUCUUGCAGCCCCUGGAACACAUCCCUGGAACAGCUUAUUCACCCCCACACAACCUUGAGUAGAUAAAGGCCCACAAAGGUAUUAGAGACUUCGUGUCAUCCUUUGAGCAAGGGGCUUGACCCCAAGUGCCCACCCCAAAACGCCUGUGGUAAUGGUGACACCAUAGGUGCCAUUCUGGGGAAGGGAGAGAGUGAGGGUGGAGGAUGUCAUCCCCAUAGUGGCAGGGCAAGAGACAGGUCCCCGCCCCAGGCAUCUUGGGCAGGUGGCUCCAGGUUCCGUUCU
Molecule: long non-coding RNA, 1034 nt
Filed under: Homo sapiens (human)
Lineage: Eukaryota; Metazoa; Chordata; Mammalia; Primates; Hominidae
Description: HSALNT0168057
Source: RNAcentral